RNAcentral lists this ribosomal RNA (492 nucleotides) under uncultured bacterium. Its description in RNAcentral is "partial 16S ribosomal RNA". It matches the Rfam family "Bacterial small subunit ribosomal RNA", at positions 29 to 507 of the family's 1533-position model. The record is from RNAcentral.
AGUGAACGCUGGCGGUAGGCCUAACACAUGCAAGUCGAACGGCAGCACAGUAAGAGCUUGCUCUUACGGGUGGCGAGUGGCGGACGGGUGAGGAAUACAUCGGAAUCUACUUUUUCGUGGGGGAUAACGUGGGGAAACUUACGCUAAUACCGCAUACGACCUACGGGGGAAAGCAGGGGAUCUUCGGACCUUGCGCGAUUGAAUGAGCCGAUGUCGGAUUAGCUAGUUGGCGGGGUAAAGGCCCACCAAGGCGACGAUCCGUAGCUGGUCUGAGAGGAUGAUCAGCCACACUGGAACUGAGACACGGUCCAGACUCCUACGGGAGGCAGCAGUGGGGAAUAUUGGACAAUGGGCGCAAGCCUGAUCCAGCCAUACCGCGUGGGUGAAGAAGGCCUUCGGGUUGUAAAGCCCUUUUGUUGGGAAAGAAAAGCAGCAGGUUAAUACCCCGCUGUUCUGACGGUACCCAAAGAAUAAGCACCGGCUAACUUCGUG